RNAcentral lists this long non-coding RNA (14647 nucleotides) under Gossypium raimondii (Peruvian cotton). RNAcentral's name for it is "long non-coding RNA (GRAI_LNC006636)". Lineage: Eukaryota; Viridiplantae; Streptophyta; Magnoliopsida; Malvales; Malvaceae. The record is from RNAcentral.
UUUAACACAAGGGAAUUUUUGUUGUAGACUCAGAGAUGAUGGCGGAGGCAAGAGGACCUGUUAUUUCGUGUAGAUGCAGCAAAACCGAAGACUGUCAGGGUAUUUGCGCCGCGUGCCCCAACUAUAGUUGCAUUAAUAACCUUUGUACUUGCCUUUCAAACGCACCUCCAUUUCCAUAGUCUUAGAAUCUACACACUCCAACACUUGAAUGAAAUGGUGGGAUUGUUUUGUGUAAUUUGAAAUAAAUUAUCGUGCAAUGGAUCUAAUAAGAAAAAAUAUUGUAAUUAUUGUAAUUUUAAUUUUCUUUUUACCCUUCUCUGCCCCUCCCCCUCUUUCUAGUAGCGAAAAGNNNNNNNNNNNNNNNNNNNNNNNNNNNNNNNNNNNNNNNNNNNNNNNNNNNNNNNNNNNNNNNNNNNNNNNNNNNNNNNNNNNNNNNNNNNNNNNNNNNNNNNNNNNNNNNNNNNNNNNNNNNNNNNNNNNNNNNNNNNNNNNNNNNNNNNNNNNNNNNNNNNNNNNNNNNNNNNNNNNNNNNNNNNNNNNNNNNNNNNNNNNNNNNNNNNNNNNNNNNNNNNNNNNNNNNNNNNNNNNNNNNNNNNNNNNCCACCGUAUUCUUUUGGUGGGGACACUUUGUUAAUUUAUUAACAACACUAUGCACUAGAUGUGUAUCAAAUGGAAACGUGCUCUGUUAAAACUUUGUUAGAAAAAAUUGCAUAAGCACCUAUUAUAAGCUAAAGCAUUAAAAACAUUUUCUAGGAAAACUUAGCUGGACAAUACCUUGGGUAAAGGAAAGAGUAAACAUGUUUUUGACUCCCCCUAAUUUUAAAAAUAUUGAAACAUGGUACAAAUUUUGAAACAAUUUUUUGUUGCUAAAUACUUCGUCAAAGAGAAUCAUACUAUGAAGACAUGCCUUUUUAAUUACAACGAUAACCAUUGAGUUUCAUUGUAUACUCUAGGUUCAUUUGCCAAUAACUCUUUUGUACAUCAUAAACCUUGGUUGUUUGUUUCCAUUUAUUCACAAUCUCUUGCAACAAAUUUUGACAUUUUAACUGUAGUGAUAGUUUUAUUAUCCUUGUAGCGAGCCCAAGAUACCAAUUGCUCCCACCCAUGAUUUUGAAUUUUAAAUACUUUAUUUAAAUGAUUGUGAUGUUUAGAAAUUUAAAAAAUAAACUAAUUUUCUUCUAAAUUUUAUUACUUAGCGAUCCGCUGCUUGGGAUAGGAAGAACUUAAACCUUCGGCCUGACAAACCUAGGAAGUCAUCUAGGUGAGAAUUAACCCAAAAUUGGUAUUACCUAUCCAUGGACCUCUUACCUCAAGUUGGUCUGGACUGUGAGGUCGAAAGAUAAGUAGUUGUUGCCAACUCAUUAGUUUAGUGGAAGAUCGAGAGAUCCUNNNNNNNNNNNNNNNNNNNNNNNNNNNNNNNNNNNNNNNNNNNNNNNNNNNNNNNNNNNNNNNNNNNNNNNNNNNNNNNNNNNNNNNNNNNNNNNNNNNNNNNNNNNNNNNNNNNNNNNNNNNNNNNNNNNNNNNNNNNNNNNNNNNNNNNNNNNNNNNNNNNNNNNNNNNNNNNNNNNNNNNNNNNNNNNNNNNNNNNNNNNNNNNNNNNNNNNNNNNNNNNNNNNNNNNNNNNNNNNNNNNNNNNNNNNNNNNNNNNNNNNNNNNNNNNNNNNNNNNNNNNNNNNNNNNNNNNNNNNNNNNNNNNNNNNNNNNNNNNNNNNNNNNNNNNNNNNNNNNNNNNNNUAUAUACUUUUAGCAAUAUUCACACUCUGGAUUCUACGUACGUCCGAAGUUGGUCACUGUCCAAAGUGGGCGUAGUUUAUCUGCAAAUCAGUGGUGGCUCAUCUACAAUCCGGAGUGAUAUGUUAGACGAGUUCCGGGGAAUUCAUACGUGAGGUGUGUAGCGGAUUUGGGUAGGACUUUUCUGUUAAUUUGAAACUUCAAUGCAUUCAUAAGCAUGUGCAUAUAAAAUUGUGAAUACCAAUAUAACGAAGUGAAGCGUUUUAUGUGAAAAACUGUUAAUCUGAGGUGCUUUAUGGUUGUCUUUAAUCUCACGAUUGCUAAUUCAUGUGCCUUAUUGUUUUGUUGUUUUAUUUUGAUUUUCUUGUGACUGAACUCACACAGAGCUUCAUAGCUCAAUGCCCUUUAGUUCCCAUCCUUAUAGAUAACCCACCAGGUUAGGAUGCGACAUGUGGAGGGCUCGAACAAGUUUUAAUGUUAUGAAAGUAUUGUUAUGCUUAUUUUAAAAUUUAUGUUAUUUUGGAACUGUACUGUAUUAUUUAUUUUCUGCCAUUGGAUUCAUAUUUAGGUUUUGGUUUUAUAUUGCAAGCAUGACAUAUAAAUUGUUGUUUUUAAGAUGAUGAAAUAUGGAUUUCAAUUAAAUAUGCAUGAAAUAUAGAUGUUAGUAAAACUCAGGAAAAGCCAUUUUUCCGCUGAAAGGUCAUAAUUAAAUUUUGUCUAAUAAAUAGAAUGUAACCAUGUUUUGUUUUCUUAUCACCUUUUACAAGAAAAUAUAAAGAUAAAUAAAAUGUUUUAAUGUGACUAUUUAAAAUCUUCGAUUGCACUAGGCCAUCACGGUGGUCGAUGUAAUCUCCCGAACUCGGGCCUACCGUCUAGGCCAAUUUGGGGAGGUUACAAUUUCAAUGCCAUAAAGUACUAAAACCAUAUUUUCAUUCAUCUUCAGCAUAGAUUAUUUCAUGUUGAUUUGAGUUGAAUUAAAAUAUUUAAUUUGAACUUAUAAAUUUGCCAUAUUUAAGGGAAAAAAAAGUGGUUUUACUUCAAACAAAAAGAAGAGAUAAAUUGUUACCAACUAAAUUGAUGAACAAGAACUUGAUAUGAUAUAUACGUGAAUACAAUAAAAAUACAUUAAUUGCGCUAUAAUUGUGUAUAAUAUACUUUUUAUUUAGUUAUAUUGUGUUUAUACAAAAUUAGUAAAGAUAAAAUACUAUGCAUCAAAUAUGUUCAAUUCUAAUUCUAAUUCUAAUUCCAAUUCCAAUUUUUGUUUGAACUUGAUUUGGAACACAAAAAUUGAGCAUGAUGUCAAGUAUGAGAAUCCAAAUCAAGUCUUAUCAAAUAAACAAGCCUAAUUAAAUUUAGUAAAGCUAAUUAAAGCAGUUUAAUCUUUAUCUUGUAUCAAGUUUAAAUUUUAAAAGUUAAACUCAAUGAAGUUAUAUUGGAGCAUUCAAUUCUCUAGGUUUCUAUGGAGAUUGAGAUGGAAUUUCUUGGCUCAGUUCAACCCCAUUAAAUAACUUUAAAGUUUUUAUUUUGAUACAAUAGUUAAUAUUAUUUCCAAACUCAUAUAAGAGGUUGUGUAGGAAGGCUUCAGGUUUUUUUGUCUGCUUUCUCUCAGUACUAUCUCCAGAAUUUUAAUGCUUUUAGUAUUUUAAUAUUUGAAAAUUAUUUAAAAUAACUGUCUACCAAGAAAAAAAUAAUUUAAUCUUUUCUUCUGCUAGACCACAAAUAAAAAGAGUUGGAACAUAUUUCCCAUUUGUUUCUAAACGGUUGGACUAAUAAUCAACUUAUUGGCAUCAUGCAUUCCAGAUUUGGUAACAUUAAUUUCCAUGACUACACUUAGAACAAAAUAAUUAUAAUCAGUAAACAAAAUCCCCAUAAAUCUUCUCAAAGAUGUUUUGCUGAUUUACUUUCCUUUUAGACAUAAUUUCAUAAGGAAAAAAAUAAAAACGUAAUAAUCUCAAAGAAUCCAAAGAAAUUAUUAUUCCUCCAUGCAACACAAAAUAAGAUACUAUAUAUUUUAAAUCCAUAAGCUAUAAAUUUCCACCAACAUAGUUAAUUAGAUAUAAAGAGAUGGCAAAGUUUUCAUUCAAUUUGUUUAUAUUUGCUGUCAUCUUAAUCUUUGCAACUCGUUAGUUUCUUCUUAUGCAGCUCUUUUCUUUCCUUUGGUAUGAAUAUUAUGUUUUUGUUUAAUUCAACACAAGGGAAUUUUUGUUGCAGACUCAGAGAUGAUGGCGGAGGCAAGAGGACCUGUUAUUUCGUGUAGAUGCAGCAAAACCGAAGACUGUCAGGGUAUUUGUGCCGUGUGCCCCAACUAUAGCUGCAUUAAUAACCUUUGUACUUGCCUUUCAAACGCACCUCCAUUUCCAUAGUCUUAGAAUCUACACACUCCAACAGUUGAAUGAAAUGGUGGGAUUUUUUUUGUGUAAUUUUAAAUAAAUUAUCAUGCAAUGGAUCUAAUAAGAAAAAAUAUUGUAAUUAUUGUAAUUUUCAAUUUCUUUUUACCCUUCUCUGCCCCUCCCCCCCUUUCUAGUAGCGAAAAGUAUGUUACAUUUCAAAUAUAUAAAAAGAGUUACAAUCUUGUUUUAAAACUAAAAGAAAUAACAGUAAGAACAAAAGAUAGGAGAAAAAUUAAGACACAAAAUGAGAUGAUAAUUCUUCUUUCUACUUGUAUCUCAUAAGCUUGUAUAUGGCUUCAAUCUAUAGGGCUUCAACAAUGAUAGGCUAAAAAUAAUAUAAAUAGGAAUAUCAAAACUCGCAAUAAAUUGAAUGGGUAUUUCAUAAGUUGCAAGUUCCACCGUAUUCUUUUGGUGGGGACACUUUGUUAAUUUAUUAACAACACUAUGCACUAGAUGUGUAUCAAAUGGAAACGUGCUCUGUUAAAACUUUGUUAGAAAAAAUUGCAUAAGCACCUAUUAUAAGCUAAAGCAUUAAAAACAUUUUCUAGGAAAACUUAGCUGGACAAUACCUUGGGUAAAGGAAAGAGUAAACAUGUUUUUGACUCCCCCUAAUUUUAAAAAUAUUGAAACAUGGUACAAAUUUUGAAACAAUUUUUUGUUGCUAAAUACUUCGUCAAAGAGAAUCAUACUAUGAAGACAUGCCUUUUUAAUUACAACGAUAACCAUUGAGUUUCAUUGUAUACUCUAGGUUCAUUUGCCAAUAACUCUUUUGUACAUCAUAAACCUUGGUUGUUUGUUUCCAUUUAUUCACAAUCUCUUGCAACAAAUUUUGACAUUUUAACUGUAGUGAUAGUUUUAUUAUCCUUGUAGCGAGCCCAAGAUACCAAUUGCUCCCACCCAUGAUUUUGAAUUUUAAAUACUUUAUUUAAAUGAUUGUGAUGUUUAGAAAUUUAAAAAAUAAACUAAUUUUCUUCUAAAUUUUAUUACUUAGCGAUCCGCUGCUUGGGAUAGGAAGAACUUAAACCUUCGGCCUGACAAACCUAGGAAGUCAUCUAGGUGAGAAUUAACCCAAAAUUGGUAUUACCUAUCCAUGGACCUCUUACCUCAAGUUGGUCUGGACUGUGAGGUCGAAAGAUAAGUAGUUGUUGCCAACUCAUUAGUUUAGUGGAAGAUCGAGAGAUCCUACUAGGUUAGCGGCUAAUUGAUUGAGUAGAACCAAAAAUAGGAUUUAGUUAUGACCACUGAAGCGAGCUAAUCACUCAUGCUUAGAUUUUAGUGAAUCACAUAUUAGUUCUCCAUCUUUUUUAUUUUAUGCAAGUUUAUUUCUUUUCUUAUAAAAACAAUUGUUUUUCACUUUAUGGUCAUCUUACUAUAAUUUAUUUAAAUUAGUAAUUAGAUCUAUUUGCGUUUAGGUAAAUAUUAAUUUAGUACUUGUCUCCCUUGGGUACGAUCCUCGAGUACUCACCUACUUCGUUGUAAAACUAUAUUACAACCUGACUCGUAUACUUGAGGACACCGCCUCAGUUCAAUAUAUACUUUUAGCAAUAUUCACACUCUGGAUUCUAGUACGUCCGAAGUUGGUCACUGUCCAAAGUGGGCGUAGUUUAUCUGCAAAUCAGUGGUGGCUCAUCUACAAUCCGGAGUGAUAUGUUAGACGAGUUCCGGGGAAUUCAUACGUGAGGUGUGUAGCGGAUUUGGGUAGGACUUUUCUGUUAAUUUGAAACUUCAAUGCAUUCAUAAGCAUGUGCAUAUAAAAUUGUGAAUACCAAUAUAACGAAGUGAAGCGUUUUAUGUGAAAAACUGUUAAUCUGAGGUGCUUUAUGGUUGUCUUUAAUCUCACGAUUGCUAAUUCAUGUGCCUUAUUGUUUUGUUGUUUUAUUUUGAUUUUCUUGUGACUGAACUCACACAGAGCUUCAUAGCUCAAUGCCCUUUAGUUCCCAUCCUUAUAGAUAACCCACCAGGUUAGGAUGCGACAUGUGGAGGGCUCGAACAAGUUUUAAUGUUAUGAAAGUAUUGUUAUGCUUAUUUUAAAAUUUAUGUUAUUUUGGAACUGUACUGUAUUAUUUAUUUUCUGCCAUUGGAUUCAUAUUUAGGUUUUGGUUUUAUAUUGCAAGCAUGACAUAUAAAUUGUUGUUUUUAAGAUGAUGAAAUAUGGAUUUCAAUUAAAUAUGCAUGAAAUAUAGAUGUUAGUAAAACUCAGGAAAAGCCAUUUUUCCGCUGAAAGGUCAUAAUUAAAUUUUGUCUAAUAAAUAGAAUGUAACUAUGUUUCCAAUAGUUAUCACCUUUUACAAGAAAAAUAUUAGUUUAAUUGUAUUUUAUAUGCCCAUGUUUUGUUUUCUAAAAAUAGACAGAGUCUUUGUAAAGAUAAAUAAAAUGUUUUAAUGUGACUAUUUAAAAUCUUCGAUUGCACUAGGCCAUCACGGUGGUCGAUGUAAUCUCCCGAACUCGGGCCUACCGUCUAGGCCAAUUUGGGGAGGUUACAAUUUCAAUGCCAUAAAGUACUAAAACCAUAUUUUCAUUCAUCUUCAGCAUAGAUUAUUUCAUGUUGAUUUGAGUUGAAUUAAAAUAUUUAAUUUGAACUUAUAAAUUUGCCAUAUUUAAGGGAAAAAAAGUGGUUUUACUUCAAACAAAAAGAAGAGAUAAAUUGUUACCAACUAAAUUGAUGAACAAGAACUUGAUAUGAUAUAUACGUGAAUACAAUAAAAAUACAUUAAUUGCGCUAUAAUUGUGUAUAAUAUACUUUUUAUUUAGUUAUAUUGUGUUUAUACAAAAUUAGUAAAGAUAAAAUACUAUGCAUCAAAUAUGUUCAAUUCUAAUUCUAAUUCUAAUUCCAAUUCCAAUUUUUGUUUGAACUUGAUUUGGAACACAAAAAUUGAGCAUGAUGUCAAGUAUGAGAAUCCAAAUCAAGUCUUAUCAAAUAAACAAGCCUAAUUAAAUUUAGUAAAGCUAAUUAAAGCAGUUUAAUCUUUAUCUUGUAUCAAGUUUAAAUUUUAAAAGUUAAACUCAAUGAAGUUAUAUUGGAGCAUUCAAUUCUCUAGGUUUCUAUGGAGAUUGAGAUGGAAUUUCUUGGCUCAGUUCAACCCCAUUAAAUAACUUUAAAGUUUUUAUUUUGAUACAAUAGUUAAUAUUAUUUCCAAACUCAUAUAAGAGGUUGUGUAGGAAGGCUUCAGGUUUUUUUGUCUGCUUUCUCUCAGUACUAUCUCCAGAAUUUUAAUGCUUUUAGUAUUUUAAUAUUUGAAAAUUAUUUAAAAUAACUGUCUACCAAGAAAAAAAUAAUUUAAUCUUUUCUUCUGCUAGACCACAAAUAAAAAGAGUUGGAACAUAUUUCCCAUUUGUUUCUAAACGGUUGGACUAAUAAUCAACUUAUUGGCAUCAUGCAUUCCAGAUUUGGUAACAUUAAUUUCCAUGACUACACUUAGAACAAAAUAAUUAUAAUCAGUAAACAAAAUCCCCAUAAAUCUUCUCAAAGAUGUUUUGCUGAUUUACUUUCCUUUUAGACAUAAUUUCAUAAGGAAAAAAAUAAAAACGUAAUAAUCUCAAAGAAUCCAAAGAAAUUAUUAUUCCUCCAUGCAACACAAAAUAAGAUACUAUAUAUUUUAAAUCCAUAAGCUAUAAAUUUCCACCAACAUAGUUAAUUAGAUAUAAAGAGAUGGCAAAGUUUUCAUUCAAUUUGUUUAUAUUUGCUGUCAUCUUAAUCUUUGCAACUCGUUAGUUUCUUCUUAUGCAGCUCUUUUCUUUCCUUUGGUAUGAAUAUUAUGUUUUUGUUUAAUUCAACACAAGGGAAUUUUUGUUGCAGACUCAGAGAUGAUGGCAGAGGCAAGAGGACCUGUUAUUUCGUGUAGAUGCAGCAAAACCGAAGACUGUCAGGGUAUUUGUGCCGUGUGCCCCAACUAUAGCUGCAUUAAUAACCUUUGUACUUGCCUUUCAAACGCACCUCCAUUUCCAUAGUCUUAGAAUCUACACACUCCAACAGUUGAAUGAAAUGGUGGGAUUUUUUUGUGUAAUUUUAAAUAAAUUAUCAUGCAAUGGAUCUAAUAAGAAAAAAUAUUGUAAUUAUUGUAAUUUUCAAUUUCUUUUUACCCUUCUCUGCCCCUCCCCCCCUUUCUAGUAGCGAAAAGUAUGUUACAUUUCAAAUAUAUAAAAAGAGUUACAAUCUUGUUUUAAAACUAAAAGAAAUAACAGUAAGAACAAAAGAUAGGAGAAAAAUUAAGACACAAAAUGAGAUGAUAAUUCUUCUUUCUACUUGUAUCUCAUAAGCUUGUAUAUGGCUUCAAUCUAUAGGGCUUCAACAAUGAUAGGCUAAAAAUAAUAUAAAUAGGAAUAUCAAAACUCGCAAUAAAUUGAAUGGGUAUUUCAUAAGUUGCAAGUUCCACCGUAUUCUUUUGGUGGGGACACUUUGUUAAUUUAUUAACAACACUAUGCACUAGAUAUGUAUCAAAUGGAAACGUGCUCUGUUAAAACUUUGUUAGAAAAAAUUGCAUAAGCACCUAUUAUAAGCUAAAACAUUAAAAACAUUUUCUAGGAAAACUUAGCUGGACAAUACCUUGGGUAAAGGAAAGAGUAAACAUGUUUUAGACUCACCCUAAUUUUAAAAAUAUUGAACAUGGUACAAAUUUUGAAACAAUUUUUUGAUGCUAAAUACUUCGUCCAAGAGAAUCAUACUAUGAAGACAUGUCGUUUUAAUUACAAUGAUAACCAUUGAGUUUCAUUGUAUACUCUAGGUUCAUUUUCCAAUAACUCUUUUGCACAUCAUAAUAUAGGUGGGGGCGAAUAAAACUUUAAAUAAAGCGAAAUUAAUACAUGCGUUAAAGCCUCCAUUAAUUUCUUAUAAGUUUAUUUUUAUAUCCACAAUCAAAUUUUUCUUAUGCGGACAUGAUACCUUGCUAUUGCAUAUGACAUAAGAAAAACUGUAUAUUAAAUUUAGCCUCCUGGCUUUUGAGAUUUCUACAUCCUAUCUCUCUUUCUUACUCUGUUGCAAGGAUGUUCAUGUAGACCACCUGAAAGAUAGUUGUAUGGUUUCUUUAUUCUUAUUGAAACACAUAUCGAGUCUUUCUUGAAAUCACUGUGACUUUAAUAGUCAUUACCAAUAUGGUUUGACUCUUGCAGGUUUUGAGUACAUUGGCGUGUCAUUCGGCCCAAUUAAAAGCUAUUAUUGUUGUUUCAAUUUGAGAUCGCUCCCUUCUAGUUUUCUUCUUCUUUUCUCGUUUUGGUUUCCUACCCUUUAUAUGCUUGUUGUAGUAUUUUUCCUUAAGUUAAUUUUGGAAAUACAUAGAUUCUAUUGAAUGCAGUGCCAUUAAUCUUAUUAACUAGAUAGGAAUUAACCUAAAAUUGGUAUUGCCUAUCCAUGAACCUCUUACCUCAAGUUGGUUUGGACUGUGAGGUCGAAAGAUAAGUAGUUGUUGCCAACUCAUUAGUUUAGUGGAAGAUCGAGAGAGCCUACUAGGUUAGCGGCUAAUUGAUUGAGUAGAACCUAAAAUAGGAUUUAGUUAUGACCACUGAAGCGAGCUAAUCACUCAUGCUUUGAUUUUUAUUAAAUCACAUAUUAGUUCUCCAGCUUUUUUAUUUUAUGCAAGUUUAUUUCUUUUCUUAUAAAAACAAUUGUUUUUCACUUUAUGAUCAUCGUACUAUAAUUUAUUUAAAUUAGUAAUUAGAUCUAUUUGCUUUUAGGUUAAUAUUAAUUUAGUACUUGUCUCCCUUGGGUUCGAUCCUCGAGUACUCACCUACUUCGUUGUAAAACUAUAUUACAACUUGACUCGUAUACUUGAGGACACCGCCUCAAUUCAAUUAUACUUUUAGCAAUAUUCACACUCUGGAUUCUAGUACGUCCGAAGGCGGUCACUUUCCAAAGUGGCGCGUAGUUUUUCUGCAAAUGAGUGGUGGCUUGUCUACAAUCUGGAGUGAUAUGUUAGACGAGUUCUAGGGAAUUCAUACGUGAUUUGUGUAGCGGAGUUGGGUAGGACUUUUCUGUUAAUUUAAAACUUCAAUGCAUUCAUAAGCAUGUGCAUAUAAAAUUGUGAAUACCAAUAUAGUGAACUGAAGCGUUUUAUGUGAAAAACCGUUAAUCUGAGGUGCUUUAUGGUUGUCUUUAAUCUCAGGAUUGCUAAUUCAUGUGCCUUGUUGGUUUGUUGUUUUAUUUUGGUUUUCUUGUGACUGAAGUCAUACUGAGCUUCAUAGCUCACUUCCUUUUAAUUCUCAUCCUUACAGAUAACUCCUCAGGUUAGGACACGGACGCGACAUACGGAGUGCUCGAAAAAGUUUUAAUGUUAUGAAAGUAUUAUUAUGCUUAUUUUAAAAUUUAUGUUAUUUCGGAACUGUACUAUAUUAUUUAUUUUCUGGUAUAUGGAUUCAUAUUUAGGUUUUGGUUUUAUAUUGCAAGCAUGACAUAUAAAUUGUUUUUUUUUUAAGAUGAUGUAAUAUGGAUUUCAAUUAAAUAUGCAUGAAAUAUAGAUGUUAGUAAAACUCAGGAAAAGCCCUUUUUCCCUAAAAAGUCAUAAUUAAAAUUUGUCUAAUAACUAGAAUGUAACAAUAUUUCCAAUAGUUAUCACCGUUUACAAGAAAAAUAUUACUUUAAUUGUAUUUUAUAUACCCAUGAUUUGUUUUCUAAAAAUAGACAGAGUCCUUCUAAAGAUAAAAAAAUGUUUUAAUGUGACUUUUUAAAAUCUUCGAUUGCACUAGGCCAUCUGGGUGGCCGAUGUAAUCUCCUGAACUCGGGCCUACCGUCUAGGCCCAUUUGGGGAGGUUACAAUUUCAAUGGCAUAAAGUACUAAAACCAUAUUUCCAAUCAUCUUCAGCAUAGAUUAUUUCAUGUUGAUUUGAGUUGAAUUAAAAUAUUUAAUUUGAACUUAUAAAUUUGCCAUUUGUAAAGAAAAAAAAAGUGAUUUUACUUUAAACAAAAAAGAAUAGAUAAAUUGUUACCAACUAAAUUGAUGAACAAGAACAUGAUAUAAUAUGCGCUACAGUUGUAUAUAAUAUCCUUUUUAUUUAGGUAUAUUGUGUUUGUGCAAAAUUAGUAAGGAUAAAAAACUAUGCAUCAAAUAUGUUCAAUUCUAAUUCUAAUUCUAAUUCUAAUUCUAAUUCCAAUUCCAAUUUGAGUUUGAAUUUGAUUUGGAACACAAAAAUUGAGCAUGAUGUCAAGUAUGAGAAUCUAACUCAAGUUUUAUCAAAUAAACAAGCCUCAUUAAAUUUAGUAAAGCUAAUUAAAGCAGUUUAAUCUUUAUCUUGUAUCAAGUUUAUAUUUUAAAAGUGACACUUAAUAAGCAUGACUUUUGCUACUGAGUUGAUCUGUUAGAAACAUUUUAUUUUCUACCAUAUUAAACUAUUAUAGGCAUAUUGAUUGCUGUCGUAUUGUUCUGUUCAAUGUAUAAUUAAAUGCUACCGUAUUAAUCCGUUUUGUGCUUGCCAUUUUGCAUUGCAUUGGGUGAGAUGACAUGUAAGGAGGAAGAAGUGACAUUUUACCUACAAAUUUAUUUUGCACCCACAGCCUAGUGGUAGUGUUUAUCCUUUAACUACAAAUAUGUCGUACAUCUACAACCCAUCUGUAACUUUAACCUGCAAAUAUGUUGUGCAUCUAUAGUCCAGUGGCAAAUUUUAUCUGCGAUAUUUUACUAUGUAUUCAUAGCCCAGUGACAAAUUUCAUCUACGAUUUUUUUUUUUUGUAUCCAUAGCCCAAUGAUAGAUUUUAUCUAUGAAACUAAUGGUGGUUAAACCACAACUCGGUGUGUAGGUGGUUGGAGUUUAGGGGAACUCCCAUUGUAGUGUGUAGCGGUGGGGUAGGAUCUUUUCUGUUUAACCAAAAUUUUAUGGCAUACAUAAAGCAUGUGCAUACAAUUUGGAUUUUUUGAGAUGACAUAUAUGUAUUCAUUGUGGAAGUGAUCUGAAAUAUUGAUAUUCUGAAAUUGCUAUUGUGUAUUGUUCUAUGCAUUAUGUUUCUAUAUGCUUAAGAGUUUGCAUUAGUUUACUCGUGAUGGAACUUACACUGACCUUCAUAACUUACUCCCUUUUCUUUUUCCAUCUUUACAGAUAACCCACCAGGGUAGGACGCGAACGCAAAAUAUGGAGGGCUUGGAAACGUUUUAUUUUUUUGAAAGUAUUAUUAGGCUUAUUUUUAUUAUUUCUAUUAUUUUGAAAUUGUACUGUUUUAUUUAUUUUGUGGCAUGGGGUUCAUAUGUAGGGUUUAUUUAGCAUGCAUAACAUUUAACUUAAUUUUAAAAUAAGGUUUUUAUUUAAUUAAGGCAUGAAAUAUAGUUUAUUAAAGCUAAGUAAAAAAAAUCACCUUUUCGUUGUUAGAUUGUAGAUAAAAAUUGAGUACUAAAUAAAUGAAAAACUAAGUUUUCUUAAAAGUAGUCAUCGUUACAUAGGAAAGUUAAAUUAAAUCGGUUUUUGAUAACUUGUGAGUUUUUCUAAAAAUAGACUAAGUUUUCUUCCAAAAUAAAUAAAUGUUUUAAAAUGCCUAUUUUAUAAACCCCAAUCGUACUAGGCCAUCUCGGUGGCCGAUGUAAUCUCCCGAAUUCGGGUUUAACAUCUAGGCCAGAUUGAGAAGAUUACAACUUUUAUGAAUAUAAAACCGAACAAUCACUUUUUGCUUUUCAGAAACCUCUCUUUUCAGCUUUGCUAACAUAUUUCAUGAGGCUGAGACUCCUCCGUUGAUAGUCUUGGUUGUCUGUUUCCCUUUAUUCACAAUCUCUUGCGAUAAAUUUUGACAUUUUAACUGCAGUGACACUGUCAUUAGCCUUGUAGUGAGCCCAACAUAGCAACUCCUCCCACCUAUGAUUUUGAAUUUUUAAUACUUUAUUUAAUUGAUUUUGAUGUUUUGAAUUUUUUUUAAAAAUAAAUAAAUUAUUGAAAAAAAAUUCGAUAGUUUCAGUCGAUUUGUUACUAUAAUAUCAAAAUUAAUUAAAUUAAACUUCUUCUAAAUUUUAUUUUUUAUAUUUUCAAGUUAUUCAUAACGAAUUCAAUUCAAAUAACUCAUAUUUAAUAUUUUUUUUACAAAACUUAAAUUUAUUUUGAUUAUAUAAUAUCGAAUCUUUCAUUUGGUUAUUUUCUUAAAUACUAUUAUUUAAGCCAUUUGAACCUAAUACUCUAAAAGUGAGAGUUGAAGGGCGACCAAUAUCAGUGGCAUAAAGUACUAAAAACAUAUUUCAGUCAUCUUCAAUAUAGAUUAUUUGAUGUUGAUCUGAGCUAAAUUAAUAUAUUUAAUUCUGACUUGUAAAUUUGCCAUUUGUAAAAAAGAAGAAGAAGUGAUUUUACUUCAAACAAUAAUAAUAGAUUUGUUACCAUCUAAAUUGAUGAACAAGAUAUAUACUUGAAUACGGUAACAAUAAAUUAAUUGUGCUACAGUCUGUCUUAUUUAUAAUAUCUUUUUUAUUUAGGUAUAUAGUGUUUGUACAAAAUUAGUAAAGACCAAAACCCUAUGUAUCAAAUAUGUCAAGUAUGAGAAUCCAACUCAAGUUUUAUCAAAUAAACAAGCCUAAUUAAAUUUAGUAAAGCUAAUUAAAGCAGUUUAAUCUUUACCUUGUAUCAAGUUUAUAUUUCAAAACUGAAAGUCAAUGAAGCUAUAUUGGAGCAUUCAAUUCUAGGCUUAGUUCUACCCCAUUAAAUAACUUUAAAGUUUUUAUAUUGAUACAAGAGUUAAUAUUAUUUUCAAACACAUAUAACUGGUGGUGUAGGAAGGGGUCAAACUUUUGGUCCGCUUUCUCUCCGUACUAUUUCAAAAGGUUUAAUUUUUUAGUAUUUUAAUAUUUAAAACUUAGUAAAAAAAAUAACUUUGACUAACAAGAAAAAUAUAAUUUAAUCUUUUCUUAUCCUAGACCACAUAAAAAAUUUGGAACAUAAUUCACAUUUGUUUCUAAACGGUUGGACUAAUAAUCAAUUAAUUGGCAUCAUGGAUUCUAGAUUUUGUAGUAUUAAUUUCCAUGACUACACUUAGAACAAAAUAAUAAUAAUUAGUAAAAAAAAUCCCCAUAAAUCUUCUCAAGGAUGUUUUGCUGAUUUACUUUCCUUUCUACACAUAGUUUCAUAAGGAAAAUUAUUAAAACAUAGUAAUCUCAAAGAAUCCAAAGAAAUUAAUAUUACUCUAUGCAACACAAAAUAAGAUACUAUAUAUAUUAAAGCCAUAAGCUAUACAUUGCCACCAACAUAUUUAAUUAGAUAUAAAGAGAUGGAGAAGCUUUCAUUCAAUUUGUUUAUAUUCGCUAUUAUCUUAAUCUUUGCAACUCGUUAGUUUCUUCUUAUGCAACCCUUUUAUUUCAUUUGGUAUGAAUAUUAUCUUUUUCGUUUAACCUAAUACAAGGGAAUUUUGGUUGCAGAUCCAGAGAUGAUGGCAGAGGCAAGAGGACCUGUCAUUUCGUGUAGAUGCAGUAAAAUCGAAGAUUGUCACGGUAUUUGCGCCGCGUGCCCCAACUAUAAGUGCAUUAAUAACCUUUGUACUUGCCUUUCAGACGCACCUCCAUUUCCAUAGUCUUAGAAUCUACACACUCCUAUAGUUGAAUUAAAUGGUGGGGUUUUUUUUUGUGUAAUUUGAAAUAAAU